CCCCCGAAAAAUGCUCAACGUCAUGAUUAGCAAGAAGUUAAUUCCGGAAAAAAACAUUUGGUGCAGUUUAGAAACUGCGAGACUCAAUUGGAGGGCGCUGCGUGUGUAUAGGAACACCAGGAUCAACCACCAUCGCCGAGUGGUGUUACAUUUUUGGUUUUCCAAUCAACUGGGACUUUCCAGCAGUGAGGGACGUUCCAGAAGCAAGGGAAUUUUGGAGGACUACAACCAACACAUUCACUAUCUCUGCAGCACUUACUUUAAGACCCAAGGUUGCAGGCUAUCGGUCAGGAGACUUAGCAGCCUUAAGUCCCGUUACUUCUUCUGUAGUGAAGAACAAUUUACAGAGAAAAAUGCCAUGUUAGUCCUGACCAGACUCUUGAAAGUAUACCCACUUGAGAACAAAAUCAGUGCUAUUUCACUGGACAAUAUCUGAUGGAUGUCACAAGGUCAAUACGUAAAACCUCCAAAUAGUUAUGUGAAUGCCACAAAAUUUGGUUCUUUCAGAACUGGUGUGGGUUGCAGAAUCUUUUCUCUCUUCUUCAGUGCGUCAACGGCAGUGCUGAACAUCCCCUUCACCUACAUCGAAAAGCAGGCAAGCAAGCAUAUUCCAGCGCAGCUACAGAGAAAAAGAGACAUAAAAUUAUUUCAGGAAAUAUAUCCACUGUUGAACAAAAUUUCCAGAAAAUAACAAAGCCAAGAGCAUCUUGCUAUGGAAAAUUUGCAGCCUGUUAAUCCAGAACUGGCCACCAGAGGGAGCUUUUAUACUCGGCUUCUGAAUUUGAAGUCAAUCCCAAUGGCUUGUCUCUACAUAGCAAUGAUCAUCUUCUCCACCUACUGGCAGAAAUAUACAAAACCUCUAGAAUUGCAGAAGUGACUGCUGCAGAGAGUUGUACCAAUAUCAGCCGAUUGGCACCUCACCUGGGUAGCUAAUCUUCGUGUGAGGCUUCAUGCCAACUUUAAGCUUGACUAUGGAGAGAAGAGAAGAGAAGCAUCACAGAUGAACAAAGUUAACAUCAUUACAGUACAGUUAUAAUUUCCAGUAAGGAUCACUCGAUGCCCACCAGCUAUGGAACCCACUGAUGAACAUCACAGAACGAUGAACAGGAUCAUAAAUAUGAAUCCAAGAGUAGCAAUAACAUUCUGUAAUCCCUAUUGAAAUGCUAUUAUCCAUAUAACAUGUUUGACUUGGUCAACAUAACCAAUGGCCUAAAUAUAAAAAAUGAAAUUGUGGAAUGCAAUUCUGAAAAAAAGGUUUAAAAAACUCUCAAGUCUUCUAAUAAAAUGGAAUCUGAUUUAUUCAGUGACCAUAAAGAGUGACCCUGGUCAUAUGUUCCUCUCCCUUUGCUCAUCCAGGGAUAUUGAACUCAGUUGUGGUACUACAUCUGUACCUUGGCUGAGACUAGGUAAUGGCACAAACCACAGAUCAAAUAUGGAACCUUCCUGGUUUCUAUCGCUCAGUACAAUCUCAUUUGGUACAUUAAUCGAUUGAACUUCAAGGGCAGCACCCUCCACCAAUCAACCAAAUGAACUAAAGCAAUUGUAAACCAUUUUGUUUAUGUAUUUACAGCCAAAGAAAUUAUAUUUUGGCACAGAAAGUUAAACCUUAGACAUUUUUUUAUGGAGCAGGGCAGCAAAAGGUCUGCACUCAGCAGAUGUGCUGAUUGGAAUGAAAAAAAAGUUUCAAGUAUUAUUGAUUUCUGUCUUUAGUAAUGAAAAUCAGACCCCAAAAGUUUCAACAGCAUUUAAAUCUUGUCAAAAUGGUGUAGGUUUAAUGGCCUCAAGUGUUUGAAUAGUUGGAUAAGUAACAGGAGCCCAUAGCAUGCGGCAAGGCAGUAAUCAUUGGGAAACAUAUAUGCUUGGCUUUUAAAAUACCAAUAAUUAUUUUCAUAUGGCACAAAGCCAAAGCCUGAAUCAAUCAUUGGUACAGUUUAAAACUGCACUCUUCAUAUUUGCUCCUGUUUUACAAAACAGUGUUUAUUGGUCCUUGCUGUGCUGGACAUAUUGACAGUUGUCAUGCCCAGUACAAGCAUGAAGAUAUCACAAAUUUUAAAGAUAUAUUUUAAAACGUGAAGACUAAAGCUAUUAAGGUGGCUGCAGCAUACCAUGUGACUUUUGGCAUUUGAACUGUAAACAGUAGAGUUUGUGGCCAGUACCUGAUUAAAUAUGGACCAAAACCUACAGACAAUGGGGUUUGCAGAUAACUUGGCUCCAUGUUUCACCGGGGAUGUCGAACCUCAAUGGAUGUUAGGCAGAUGUGAAAUGGAUCCUAUCAACUUUACAUUAUAUUGUGAUGGCCCCUCAUCCAAAGACAAAGACCUUAGCUGUCUCAAACUCUCAAAGUGUGAAAAUCCACAACAUGGGAUGUUUAUCAGCCUCACACACCAUCUUAUUUGGAAAAGGUUUUUGAACUUGUAAUAGAUCACAUGGGUGAGAUAGCCAUGUUGCCUGCUUUUAAAACAGCAAGCAACAGCUCAGUAGAGAUAGAGACCAGCAGAAAGUCAUCAAACCAGAUGCAGUCAACGAAGCAGUCAAGGUAAUAAAUAGCAAUACCUUGAACGUGGGAGAAGGAUUCUUUCCAACCUAUACCAACUUCAAGUUCACCUGAGAACCAACCUCCUGGCAAUUCAACAAGAAGUCAGCUUGCAGCAUACUGAGAAUCCUCUGCUUUUAAAGACCUUCACCUCAGUAAAGCACCAACUCAUCUAAGAAGCUACAGGCCUGUUAUGAAAGAGACUAAAAUGAUCACAAGUUGUAAUUGUAUAUUUUUUGUUUGUAUCUAAUAUUAUGUGAUACAUCAUGUUUUUAAAUCCCUAGGGCAAGUGUGGGAUAAUAAAUUUUU
Molecule: RNA transcript, 2842 nt
Organism: Carcharodon carcharias (great white shark)
Lineage: Eukaryota; Metazoa; Chordata; Chondrichthyes; Lamniformes; Lamnidae
Gene name: elongation of very long chain fatty acids protein 5-like
Exons: 8
Source: RefSeq, a predicted model, not a curated record